GUCUACGGCCAUGCCACCCUGAACAUGCCCAAUCUUGUCUGAUCUUAGUAGGGUUGGUUCUGGUUAGUACUUGGAUGGGAGAAAAGGAGAAAGAGCUCAGUUGUUGAUA
Molecule: ribosomal RNA, 109 nt
Filed under: Ovis aries (sheep)
Lineage: Eukaryota; Metazoa; Chordata; Mammalia; Artiodactyla; Bovidae
Source: RNAcentral